GAUGAAGAACGCAGUGAAAUGCGAUACGUAAUGUGAAUUGCAAAUUCAGUGAAUCAUCGAGUCUUUGAACGCACAUUGCGCCCCCUGGUAUUCCGGGGGGCAUGCCUGUCCGAGCGUCAUUGCUGCCCUCAAGCACGGCUUGUGUGUUGGGCCCCGUCCUCCGAUCCCGGGGGACGGGCCCGAAAGGCAGCGGCGGCACCGCGUCCGGUCCUCGAGCGUAUGGGGCUUUGUCACCCGCUCUGUAGGCCCGGCCGGCGCUUGCCGAUCAACCCAAAUUUUUAUCCAGGUUGACCUCGGAUCAGGUAGGGAUACCCGCUGAACUUAAGCAUAUCAAUAAGCGGGGA
RNAcentral lists this unclassified non-coding RNA (344 nucleotides) under soil metagenome. RNAcentral describes it as "partial contains 5.8S ribosomal RNA, internal transcribed spacer 2, and large subunit ribosomal RNA". The stretch from base 1 to 119 matches the Rfam family "5.8S ribosomal RNA", at positions 35 to 154 of the family's 154-position model. The record is from RNAcentral.